Nicotiana attenuata is the source of this 1091-nucleotide long non-coding RNA. RefSeq lists it as uncharacterized. Lineage: Eukaryota; Viridiplantae; Streptophyta; Magnoliopsida; Solanales; Solanaceae. The record is from RefSeq and is a predicted model, not a curated record. The transcript has 3 exons.
CCCCUAAAACCCUAGAAAGACACUUAAAAACAUCCCUAAACCUAUCUUCUUCUCUAGACAUUAGACCUAACCUUCAGCACCCUACACCUUCACCAACCUAGACACACAAGACUUAACUCUGGGGACAACCUAAAAAAGACCCUAAAAACAAAAAGCAGUCGUUUCUCAUCAUCUUAAACCAAAAAACCCUAAGGACCCUAUCUUCUUCACAAAAAGAAGCAGCCAUGAGAGAACCUUAGAACCUAGGAUUUACGCCACCAGAACUCGCUCCAGCAGCAACAGCCACCAAACUCGCCGGAAAUCCAUUCCCUCCAGAACACCGGCGACCCCUUCUUCAAAAAUAACACCCCGCUUCGUCUCCUUCACUCGCCGGAACUAACACCGGCAGUCACCAAAUCCGGUAGCUCCCUCUCGUUUUCUGGCUGGAGUCGUUCCUUCUUCUUCAUGGAGACCUCAAACCCUAGAAGAGACCUAACCCCAAGACUAAUUUAGCUGCUCUUCCUCCAUCUUGAAGCAGCAGAACAGCCGCCGUUAGAACCAGUGACCACAACAACCGCCUCCCUCACCGGAAUCUGGCCACCAGUCGCCACCACCCUUUCCUUAAAACCACCCGCCAGACCUCCUGCUCUAAAAGAGAACUCCAGCCACCGGCGACUAUCUUCAGUCCAAAACGAGAGCAGCGACCAUUCUAUAUUUAAUCCUUUAAUCAAAACAUACAAAGAUGGAUUGGAUUUUUCCGCUUCCUGUUGCCAUAUAUUAACAUAAGAACAGAAGCUGUGAAUCUGAAAUUAUCCCGUUUUCAAGUGUUUCUGGAUCUCAUCAGUCCUGCUAUUUUGUCUGUCGGUUUUAUGUUCAGAGAAUUGAAACAAUCAAUUUACGGCCAUACAAAGGUGUGGUGUCGCAGAAGCGGACAAGUGGACCGCAGGUGUGGUUUCACUGGUCGGAAGGUAUAAAAAGGGGACUUCAUGAUUUUUGCUCAUUUCCACCAUUUUCAUUUCGGACUUUGGAGCUUUUGGGGAGAUGUUUCAAGGGGAUUCGAGGGUAUUCACUGAGAUUCGGGACGUUCGGAGGCCGAGUCGAGAGGCAAGGGC